This 229-nucleotide ribosomal RNA is filed under the name uncultured bacterium. RNAcentral's name for it is "partial 16S ribosomal RNA". It matches the Rfam family "Bacterial small subunit ribosomal RNA", at positions 568 to 796 of the family's 1533-position model. The record is from RNAcentral.
CAUGUAGGCGGCAUGACAAGUCUGGUGUGAAAUAUCUCGGCUCAACCGAGAAAACGCACUGGAAACUGUCAAGCUUGAGUAUCGGAGGGGAAGCUAGAAUUCCUGGUGUAGGGGUGAAAUCUGUAGAUAUCAGGAAGAAUACCGGUGGCGAAGGCGAGCUUCUGGCCAGGUACUGACGCUGAGAUGCGAAAGCGUGGGGAGCGAACAGGAUUAGAUACCCUGGUAGUCC